Molecule: ribosomal RNA, 465 nt
Filed under: uncultured bacterium
Lineage: Bacteria
Description: partial 16S ribosomal RNA
Rfam family: Bacterial small subunit ribosomal RNA
Source: RNAcentral
GACGAACGCUGGCGGCGUGCUUAACACAUGCAAGUCGAACGGAAAGGCCCUGCUUGCAGGGUACUCGAGUGGCGAACGGGUGAGUAACACGUGGGUGAUCUGCCCUGCACUUCGGGAUAAGCCUGGGAAACUGGGUCUAAUACCGGAUAGGAGCCAUUUUUAGUGUGAUGGUUGGAAAGUUUUUUCGGUGUAGGAUGAGCUCGCGGCCUAUCAGCUUGUUGGUGGGGUAAUGGCCUACCAAGGCGGCGACGGGUAGCCGGCCUGAGAGGGUGGACGGCCACAUUGGGACUGAGAUACGGCCCAGACUCCUACGGGAGGCAGCAGUGGGGAAUAUUGAACAAUGGGCGCAAGCCUGAUGCAGAGACGCCGCGUGGGGGAUGACGGCCUUCGGGUUGUAAACUCCUUUCGCUAGGGACGAAGCUUUUUGUGACGGUACCUAGAUAAGAAGCACCGGCUAACUACGUG